UACGAAGGGGGCUAGCGUUGCUCGGAAUCACUGGGCGUAAAGCGCACGUAGGCGGAUCUUUAAGUCGGGGGUGAAAUCCCGGGGCUCAACCCCGGAACUGCCUUCGAUACUGAGGAUCUUGAGUCCGGGAGAGGUGAGUGGAACUGCGAGUGUAGAGGUGAAAUUCGUAGAUAUUCGCAAGAACACCAGUGGCGAAGGCGGCUCACUGGCCCGGUACUGACGCUGAGGUGCGAAAGCGUGGGGAGCGAACAGG
Molecule: ribosomal RNA, 253 nt
Filed under: uncultured bacterium
Lineage: Bacteria
Description: partial 16S ribosomal RNA
Rfam family: Bacterial small subunit ribosomal RNA
Source: RNAcentral